Molecule: non-coding RNA, 81 nt
Filed under: Streptomyces katrae
Lineage: Bacteria; Bacillati; Actinomycetota; Actinomycetes; Kitasatosporales; Streptomycetaceae
Source: RNAcentral
ACAGGAAACCGGUGCGAAUCCGGUGCGGUCCCGCCACUGUGACCGGGACCCCGCCCACGGGGUCCCGGGAGUCAGACACUG